This 373-nucleotide ribosomal RNA is filed under the name Cremnoconchus dwarakii. Its description in RNAcentral is "partial small subunit ribosomal RNA". It matches the Rfam family "Microsporidia small subunit ribosomal RNA", at positions 752 to 1208 of the family's 1311-position model. The record is from RNAcentral. Lineage: Eukaryota; Metazoa; Mollusca; Gastropoda; Littorinimorpha; Littorinidae.
GCUUACCUGAGUACUACGAACAAUCAAGGUUUAAAACUCAAAGGGCUUGGCGGUGCUUUAAACUUUUUAGGGGAACCUGUCUCAUAAUCGAUAGUCCACGCUAGACCUUCCCUUUUUUUGUUAAUUCAGUAUGUAUACCGUCGUCGUCAGGUAACUUUUAAUAAAGAUAAAAGUUAGCGCUUAUAGAUUGUGUAAUCUUAGACGUCAGAUCAAGGUGCAGCUUAUAAAAUGGAGAGGAUGGGUUACAAUUAUGAUUUAUAAUUACGGAUAUAAAUUUGAAAUAAUUUAAUGAAGGAGGACUUAAUAGUAAGAGAUUUAUACAAAAUCUUUGAAUAAAGCUCUGAGGCGUGCACACAUCGCCCGUCACCCUCGA